This 184-nucleotide small nucleolar RNA is filed under the name Petasospora fabianii. The record is from RNAcentral. Lineage: Eukaryota; Fungi; Ascomycota; Saccharomycetes; Phaffomycetales; Wickerhamomycetaceae.
CUACCCCGUGCCUCGCUCGGCCCACUCCUUCCAUGAGCGGGUCUUGAGCUGGAUGCUGAUCAAUCAUAUGAGGACUUGUCUUCACGAUCAGUAAGGGGUAAGAUUGAAAGAAUCCUAUUUGAGUACGGUCGUGCCAAGGCUUAAUAUGCUCAGGGUGCGAUUGUAAUUUAAGGAUUGUACAUAC